UUGACACAGAAUCUUGCUUGCAACAAGCCAUAAAUUUUGCUGCAAAACUUUGGGGUCUUGAGUGCCUUUUUUGAGAUAAUCAGGGGAUAUCAUGCCUCCUAAUGGAGUGAUGGUUGCUAUGGAAAUUUGCACUGCCUAAC
Brassica oleracea var. oleracea is the source of this 140-nucleotide long non-coding RNA. RefSeq lists it as uncharacterized. NCBI's taxonomy places the organism in Eukaryota, Viridiplantae, Streptophyta, Magnoliopsida, Brassicales, Brassicaceae. The transcript is spliced from 2 exons. The record is from RefSeq and is a predicted model, not a curated record.